RNAcentral lists this ribosomal RNA (433 nucleotides) under uncultured bacterium. Its description in RNAcentral is "partial 16S ribosomal RNA". It matches the Rfam family "Bacterial small subunit ribosomal RNA", at positions 29 to 507 of the family's 1533-position model. The record is from RNAcentral.
AACGAACGCUGGCGGCAUGCCUAACACAUGCAAGUCGAACGAGACCUUCGGGUCUAGUUGCGCACGUGUGCGUAACGCGUGGGAACCUGCCCUUAGGUUCGGUAUACCUCCCCGAAAGGGGUGCUAAUACCGGUUAAUGUCUUCGGACCAAAGAUUUUUCGCCUUUGGAUGGGCCCGCGUUGGAUUAGCUAGUUGGUAGGGUAAAAGCCUACCAAGGCGACGAUCCAUAGCUGGUCUGAGAGGAUGAUCAGCCACACUGGGACUGAGACACGGCCCAGACUCGUACGGGAGGGAGCAGUAGGGAAUAUUGGACAAGGGGCGAAAGCCUGAUCAAGCAAUGCCGGGUGAGUGAUGAAGGCCGUAGGGUUGUAAAGCUCUUUUAGCCGGGAUGAUAAUGACAGUACCGGGAGAAUAAGCACCGGCUAACUCCGUG